GUCAAGUCAUCAUGGCCCUUACGCCCAGGGCGACACACGUGCUACAAUGGCCAGGACAGAGGGCUGCGAAGCGGUAACGUGGAGCGAAUCCCAUAAAGCUGGUCGUAGUCCGGAUCGCAGUCUGCAACUCGGCUGCGUGAAGUCGGAAUCGCUAGUAAUCGUGAAUCAGCGAUGUCACGGUGAAUACGUUCCCGGGUCUU
RNAcentral lists this ribosomal RNA (200 nucleotides) under uncultured organism. RNAcentral's name for it is "partial small subunit ribosomal RNA". It matches the Rfam family "Bacterial small subunit ribosomal RNA", at positions 1184 to 1382 of the family's 1533-position model. The record is from RNAcentral.